Long non-coding RNA from Crotalus tigris (Tiger rattlesnake), 20064 nucleotides. RefSeq lists it as uncharacterized. The record is from RefSeq and is a predicted model, not a curated record. The transcript has 3 exons. NCBI's taxonomy places the organism in Eukaryota, Metazoa, Chordata, Lepidosauria, Squamata, Viperidae.
GCAUGUAUGAGUCAGUUUUUGAUUCCUGACCAAUUCCCUGCAGUUUUCUUGGCAACAUUUUAGAAAGUAAUUUGCAUUGCCCGCUUUCUAGGGCUGAGAGUGAGUGACUGGCUCAAAGUCACCCAGAUGGUUUUAUGCUUUAGCAGUAGAACUCACAGCAUCCCAAUUUCUAACCUGUAACCUUGACCAUUACACAAAACUGGCUCUCUAAAUAAAUAAGUAAAUAAAUAAAUGUGUUUCAACUUGCUGUUUUAAGUUUGCCUUUCCUAACUUGAUGCCAUCAAGAUUUCAACUCCUGUUAUCCCCAGGCAAUCUGCCAAUAGACUGAUGGAAAUGGAAGUUAAAGACAUCUGAAAAGCAGCAGGUUUGGAGGGCUGGUGCAUACUCUGAAAAAUAAACUUAUACAUUGGGAAGCACCUUUAUAUUUUCUUUUUCUUCACUUGACAAACAGGUCAAUGUUUGGUUUAUAUCAGAUGAUGUUUCAUGAUAAUUUUCAUCUGAAUAAAAUUCUGUGCUCUGUGAACUUUUCACCCUCAGUAGGAAUGAAAAUAAAUCUUAAAGCACUGUAGUGGUUUAUGGGAAAGUGUUCCUGUGUUGUAACCCAGCAAAUCACUACUGAUUUGGCUUCAGAGAUUGUUACUGUUUUUUAAAAAUUAGUAAGAGAAUAAUGGGGUGACUAAAUCAAAUAUUAUUAAUGUAAAAGAGAAACUUUCUUUGGGAGGAGUUUCCAACAUUGUGUGACAACUUAUUAUACAAUGUUUUACAUAUCACGCCAGGCUGAAAGAGUGUUAUAAAAAUUGCUUCUGUGCUCUAUAUGUCAACCUCCAGCAUGAGUAUAAAAAUAAAAGCCCAGGAUUAUUUUCUUUACUGGAAAAUAUUUUUGUUUAUCGGUCUAAAAAACAAUUUUAGUAAAAGAGCAGUGAACCUAAUAGGUAAAGCCCCCAAAUUAAAAUACUGUAGAUUCUCUGCCUAAAAAAACAUAUUGUUCUCAAAAUUAAUUUUUGAAAUCCUAAAUUUAGGAUUCUAGAAUCACCCAUCUUUCUGUGCUAAAUGGGUUGGAUCCUACAAAGGUUCAGCCAGCUUAAUGUUAUUUCACUUUGGUUUUAACUGUUGUUUGGACUCUAUCAAGAAUACCAUAGGUUAGAAUUAAUCAUUUGUUGAAAAUUACAGGAAAUUCAGUCAAGAAUACAUAUCAGCAUUGAACCAAAUGUUGCUAUCGUUGUCAUGUAAUUUCAGUGGAAAUAAUAAAUAAUGGUAUCUCAUUUUAGUGUUGGAUUCAUUUUAUUAAUUUUAGUGUAAAGAUCACAAGGUUGGUUUGAGAUUUGGAAGCUGAAUUAAUGGGAAAUAUUUCUAAUGUAGUGUGUUUCAUAGUGAGAGUAUAAGAGUCUUGCAUGUAUGAAACUUUUCCCUAUAUGUUUGAUCUGCCCAUAAUAUAUGGAAUUAUUUAACUCUUAAAUAUUUUUAAAGAUUAUUUAGAUCUUUUGAUCUAAAGUCCACGUGACAGAUAAAAAGUGCUAAACUGCUAAAAGCACAAUCAAUAUUUAACUGAAGCAAGCCCCAGAUAUGUCAAAAACAGUGCUCCCGCAAUCAGGUGUAGGAUUGCUGUUUCAAUGAAUGAUGGUGUCUGCCAAUUGUGUGACUUAUCUAUAUAGCAGUUAAUAUUGAGGAUAUUCUUAUAUUUAAGAACAAAACAUAAUGAGAGAAAAACUGGUUCCCUGGAAAUAAUUAAUAUAGUUUGAAAAAUGCACAUUAAUAUUAAAUGUUGUGAACUUAUAACAAUGGACCCAAGUAAAGAUUAAAAUAAUUUUAGAUGUAAUGUCAAAAUAAGAAUCCAAGUAUGGUUUUGGUAAACUGUGCUAUAUCAUUUAUUUUUCAUAGAAAUUAAAUUAUAAAAGUUGACUCCUCAUUCACAUGCCCUCAGUAUGGGUAAAUAGCAAGAUGUGCCUGGUGGAGUAAUUAUACAAAUAGUAUGAUUUAGAUUCUGGUGAUGAAACAUAACUCAUAAUAGCAGUAUUUACAUGAAAAUAUCAGCACACUCAUGUUAUCAAUUUGGCUUUAUUAUAGUUUGCUGUAGAUUCCACUGUCCUCAUUGCUUUGAAAACAGAAUUACUUUUAGCUAUACUUCCCCAAUAUAUAGUAAAGGUAAAGGAGUCCUGGCAGAUGUUACUCUGCUAAUUGGUGCCAACUAGAGGGGGUGGUACUCCUCUCCGUUUCAAGGCCAUUGAAUCAGCGCUGUCAGAUGACAAUUCUGCAAUCAUAUGGCCAACAUGACAUCACAGAGUGAUGUUACCUUCCCACUAAAUUGGUACCUAUUUAUUUGUCUGCUUUUGUCUCGUAUUUGCCUGCUUUUGAAAUGCUAGGUUGGCAGGAGGUAGGGUGAGGAUCAGAGCUCACCCACUUGCACGGUUCUUGGGUCUCAAACAAGCCCAGCAUCUUAACUGAUGAGCCACCCCAAUCAAUAGUAAUCUAACCAAGAUUUCAGCAUGUGAUAUUUAUAAAAAUUCUUAGCUACUAAUCAUUGGUCAAAACAGUGCUGAAGGAUAGAAGUUGGAUGAAAAGAAGAAUGCCCAAGGUUGUUUCCUCCCCAUUAACCUGCUUCAUCAUGUGAGAAAUCCUUUGAGACUGAGCCACUGUGCAUGUGUGUUUUCUUUUUCCCUAAAGGAUCAAAUGAAAGAAAGCAAUUGGCAUGCCGUAUCUGCUUCCCAGGUUAUUCUGGUUUCAAAACCCUGCUGAACUCCUGCUGCCAUGUCUUUCCCUUUUACUUUAGAGGCAACAUCAGAGUGGAACGGCGGGUGACCCUGUGCACUUGCUUCAAAUGAGUGUAAAUAGAAGAUGAUAUUACUUGUCUGAAUGAAGUGGACUAUCCCAUGGAGGGGAAUAAUAGCUGUCGCCUAGCACUGAGUCUCUUUCCCUCUUCUGAAAAAGACGAGAAAGAACUUAAAAGUCAAGGAGACCCCAAGAUGAGGGCGAAUGUUGAUUACUUUAAAGAUUAAACUGUUACCCUGGUGAAGUCAGCAAAUACUGUUUCUAAGCAGUGAUUUCAAUGUCUCUUGAGUGCUAUGAAUCUUAGUGGUGAUUAGGAACUAGUGUUUUAAAGAUGUAAAUACAAUUCAAUGGGAACUUGCAAAUUUUAUUUGGUGGUUUUGACAAAAAGAAAAUGAUACAGAAAUAGCAUGACACAAAUGAUUAUUUGAAAACUGUAUUGAUGCAAUAUACAAUGUUACAAUACUAUUUUACAAUAUUGUAAAACUCUUCAUGUUGCAAAAGAGCAGCACUUUUAAUGAACAUAUUGGCAUGAUGCAUAAUGUUCUUUCCAUUUCUAGUUAAUUGAAUUUCCACAAGCAGCAGUAACUACAUUAAUAUUGAGAACUGAUGGAAUCUAGCUGUUUCUUGGCAAAGUUUGGAUUGUUAUUUCAUUAAGCAACUAGGUAAGUAUUAAAGCUCCCCCAGAUGGUUUAUAUAUUAUAAUAAUCUUCUUCAUAGAAAUUCUCACAAAGAAAAUAAUUAUGCAUAAACAGAUUCUGAUCCUCAAGAGCAUAGUGUAUUUUAACUUGAAAUCCCAUAAUGACUAUGACCCUUAACCCUGAUGUAACUAUUUUCCAUCCAGGCUACUUACAGAAAGACACCAAAUAACACAAGACAAUGCAAAGGUUAACAAAGUUAGUGGAUCAAACAAACUUGAUACAGACAAAGAACUUUCACAUACAGCAAAUAAAUAAACUUAAUCUAUCAACUGAUCACUGCAAAAGAACCGAGAUACUAAAUGUUACUAAGCGCACAGAUAAGUAUGAAAAUAUGUUGAAUACUUGGCAAGAGUAGAAAGGCAGAGGACUGGAUUCUGGAAGCUGUGCUUGCUAUCACCCUUAGUCAUAUCAUCCAUCAUCCAGCUACUGAAGCCAACUCCCUGCAACAAAGAGACACUUGUAAGUUUAUAUUGCUGCCAUAAAUUUUUGGACAAUGAAAGUUCUUUGGGGAAAAAAAAGAACUUUCAAACUCCUGGAUAUACUGCACAAUCCAGAUCAUCAAAUAACCCCCAUGCUGGGAUUUGUGGAAUGUUCCAUCUUUAGUCAAAACUGGAAACCUAAUAAAUUAAUAAUCCUAUAGUGCACAUUGUAAACAUGAAAAUCACUGGGUCAAUAGAAGACCUCCAUCUACUGAAGGAAAUGAGAGCUAUUUUUCCACUUCAGAAUCCUACAAGUAAAGUUUUUCAAGUUUAUAUGAGGGAAAAGAAAAUAUUAAUUGGAGAAAUGUAUAACAUGUAUUAAUUUUUGAGUAGCUGUUGUGGCUUGCAAUAUUUGAUAAAAUCAAGUUUUGAAAAAUAGUUUGUAUAUUCAGGCUUCUUAAACAACACCUAUGUUUACAUCUCAGUAUAUUCAAUUCUUCAGUUAGGUUCUGUUGUACUCUUAUUUUGAAUAUUACCAUCUGAGUAUUCAUUACUUUAGACUUAUUCAAAAGUACUAACAGCAAGAAGAUAUUUAUUUUAAAGGAAAAUCUCUUUAACAGCACUAUGAGUACUGUACAUCUCAGAUGUUAGAUAACAAUAUUUGAUACAUAGACAAGGAUUCAUGGAUUUAAUCAUCAUUAAUUAUAAUCCAACUGUUUAUCUUUGGGGGAUGGACUCUGGUUUGGAUAUAAUACAGGUAGUCCUCAAUUUACCACCACAACCCAACAUUUCCCUUGUUAAAUAAGUCAGUUAUUAAGUGAGUUUUGCCUAUUUUAGGACCUUUGAUGUCACAGUUGUUAAGUGAAUCACUACAGCUGUUAAGAUAGUAGCAUGGUUGCUAAGUGCAUUGGGCUUCCUCAUUGACUUUGCUUGUCAGAAGGUUGUAAAAGGUGAUUGCAUGAUCACGGGACCCUGCAACUGUCAUAAAUACAUGCCAGUUGUCAAGCAUCUGAAUCUUGAUCAUAUGGCUACAAGGAUGCUGUAACGAUAGAAAGUGUGAAAAAUAGUUAUAGAAUUCCCAAAAAAGCUCACCAAUAGCUGAGAUCCAUAUUAGGAGUUGCUGAACACUUGCCUACUCCUGUCUUUAAUAUUAUUACAUAAUAAAGGUGACUGCAUGGAGUCAAAAUGUGGAUCUUAAUUCAUAUUUCAAUAUAUGAAAUGUUCCAUGAACAUUAAUGCCUGUGAGUAUAGAUCCAAGUGAAGACAACCUGUUUAACUGAUUAUGGAUCAUCAAGUCAGUGUUAAUUCUUAGCAACUAUACAGAUGAAAGGAAAAUCAUAAACAUUGGUUAAUACUAUUGAUUUUGAUCUUGCAAGUCACACAUGACUUCUAAGAAGCCUUAGGACUUCUUCAUGUGAACUCAAAAGUAUGUCUCAUUGAAUUUAGUGGGUAUUUCUUUAUAUAAAUGAGCUUAGGAUGGCAGUCCUAAGGUUCUUUAAGUUUCAUAAUACAACCUAUGGAAAGUAAUAAAAAGCAAUAGACAAUGUCACUUACAUAUUUUAGCAGAUGUGAUUUUAUCAUAUGGUGUAUAGUUAGCAAUCACAAGAAUUAUUGAUAUCUGUAUUAGAUAUCUUUGGGGGAGAUCAAAGUCAACAACCAAUUUUCUAGGUCAAGACAUAUACCCACCCUGGAGUAGAAUUCUGGCAACCUUUACAAAAUAUAGUAAUAAAUUACGAAUUCAAGAGAAUACUAACUCCAUGGAUAUAACAAAAGUUGGAAGAAUAACAUUUUCAUAUAUAUAAAAAAAUCUCCAAAAGAACAAGGUGUUAAACUAAUAAAUUUUGAUUCUUAACACACUAUCUUCUCUAGUAAUAUUAUAACAAGCACAAAUCAUAGAGUGCAUCUCCCAAUAAUGAUAUACACAUUACAGAGAUAUUUAUUGUCCAUAAUGUCCUGUUUCAUUUUCAGUUGAUAAGUUCCCUCUGCAAUAAUUAGUCUGAGAGAGUGACCAACCCAGAACAUUCUUCCAUAUGUAUAUAACCAAGCUACCAUCACUCCUCCCUGUCAAUUAGCUCACGUUUGCAACACAAUUUUUAAUGACUUGCUCAGUCAUAUGGUAAAGAGUUGCCCACACUCUUCAGGACUGAGAAGAUACUAUCUUCCCAAUUUCUGCUGUCUUGGCCUCCAUAGCACCUGGCACAUACCACAGAGAUGCAGUGAGCAGGUGUUCAUUCACCUUUAUUGUCACAUGUAACUGGGAAGCAAAACUGACAUGAAAUAACUAGAGAAGUCCUAUUUUAGUGAAACAUGUUUAAGCACAUUUUCUUGGUCAUGGAUAUUAAAUGGAGUUAAUUUAAUUCUCCAGUAUUUAUUUUACAUAAAUAGAGUCUAGAGGCAUUAUGAAGGCUCUUUGGGCCUCUUUGUACAUAAAUCUAAACUGCUUUGAGUUAAUUGGCUGUCAAUUAACACAGCUUUGGAGCUCAUAUAUGUUCUCCUGUCAUGAGUUAGUAAAGCAAGUCAUAUGGGCAGUGGAAGCAAAUUUAUUUAUUUGUUAAAUUUAUUUGUCACCUAUCUUGCCAAAUGUCAUGGGUUGCUCAGAAUUUGAACUGGUCUUUCCAGGCAUUGUACAAUUGCCAUUAUUUCCACACUAUCUCAGGAGGACUGCAAUUUAUAUGCUAGAGCAGGUAUAUUAGACAGGCAUUUAUCUUGAAACCAAAACCUGAAUUUGACUCCAAAUCUAAUCUUUGAAUCCUGGUAGAGAAAUUUUACUUAGGAGUAUUUCAAAGAAUCAGCCUUAUUUACAGCCAACCUAUUGCUCAACACCAACAUAAAUUUACAAAAGCAUAAGAAAUAGGUGUGGCUACUGGGCAGUACUGAUGAGAUCAAAGUAGGUCAAGCAAUAGGAGGAAAACCAAGAUAUGACUGAAGGCUUCUGAAAAAGGAAAGAAGUAGAGGAGUUUUAAUUUGGUUUAUAGAUCGUACUGAGUUGAAAAAGAGGAAAGAAAAAUUAUGUUGUAAAAAUAUCAUUUUUCAGAAGAUAAUAUUUCAAGGAGAAAUGUGUUUUAGUUUUAGGAAGAUGUAUUUUGGUUAGUCGUAGCACUCAAAGAAAUACUAUAAUGAAGCUCCUGGGUAGUUUUUUAAAAAAUGGACUCCGUGUUACCAGUUAAAGACGAAUUCAGUUUAAAUUGGUCAUAUUUUCAGUGGAAUAAUUAAAACCUUAAUGGUUUACUAUUCAAAGAUAUAUUUAUAGUAAUCCAUUAGAACUGUGCACAGUAGAAAAUAUUAGGAGUAAAUAGUUUCAUCCUUCUUCUUAUUGCAAGGCUGCCUAUUCCAAACCAAAAAUUAGGAAAGCUCUGUUUAAAAAUAUUUUUAUGAGGAAAGGAUUAAAUUACGGUAAUUCAUAGACUUUGGGAGAGAAGUUCUCACCGACAAAAACUGUUCCCAUUUUCUUAAGCCAAUGUUUUCUUCAUUGAUAUCAUUAAUAUUUAAAUUGUGUCUUAAAGAGUUAAUGGAUACUUUAAUGACUACAGCUAGCAAAAAGGCUACAUAAGACAAAAGAUAUUGAGGAUGUUUCCAGGCUAUAUUAAACAUUUCAGUUCUAUGCAUAUUUAUUUGGAGUAAGCUCUAUUAUAUUUAUGCAUUCUAUUUCCCCCAGAUUAAGACUGAACCUUUAAAACUGUUUUAUUUCAAGGGAAAGGGUUAUGUAUUCAAUUAAUUUUUCUGCUGAAAUCAAUGGGACUUAAAAGUCCUUAAUUUUGAAUGAGUUGUGUUCUUAUUUUAAAUCUAUUACUAAAAGUAUAAUAUGUAAUUAUCCUAUGGAUAUGCUUGGCUUUAUUGUUGACCUAAUGCUGUCCAUUUCUGGAAAAUUAUAGUGCAUUCCAUAAUAAAACAUUAUAGAUUGCUUUAUUACCUUUGGGAAUUCAGCUGUGCUAGUAAAUUAUAGCUUAAGAAUGCUUGCCAUUUAAUUUAAAAAGAAGUUAGUCAUGCAACAGAAAUCUUUGUUAAAUGUAUUACAUUAGUUAAAUAAUAUUUUUCCCAUCAUGGUGAUUGAAAAUAGACCUGUGUGUUCCUGAUUCAGUUCUAUUUAAAAUAUUGGAAAUUGUACUUUUAGUAACAAUCAAGUUCUGUUGUCUGGUCCAAUAAACUAUUCUAUAAAACCAUUAUUUGGAGCCAGAGUUAAAUUUCUUACAUAUUAUGAUUUAAUAUGACUUAAAAUAAUAGAUACAAUCAUUUAAAAUGAAAUUAUUAAUUGGCACAAUCUUGAAAUCUUGAAAAAAGAUUAGUUAUAAAAAUUUGACAUUCAACAAUUAAAUAAAUAGAUCCUCCAAGCUAAAUGGAACUUUUGACAUUAAAUAUAUACCUUAUGGCAAGUAAUACACGUUGGGACAUCUGUUGUCCUUGAGAACAAGCUACAAUUAACUCAUAAGAUGAUAAGAUUAAAUAAAGGCGUCCAGGACUGGUAACAACUACUUCUAAAGUUGUAAGAUUCUUAUACUGAAUCUACAGAGGUCUAUCAAAUUUCCAAUGUGUUUAAGUUUCUAGGAAAAAAUUCACUGCCAAUCAGCUGUCUAUUAACUGCUUUCUGAGACUGAGGUAGCUAUGUUUUAAAUGAUGACAUACCACUUAAGUUUCCAUAACAAGAUCAUUCUAUACAGAGUUUGCAAAAUAAUGAUUCUAUCAAAUAUUUUGCUUAUUGCUAUAUGGAGCCACGAAACAGCAUGGCUGCAAGGGAAAGAUAAGCUAUUGCAGUACAUUUUCAAUGCUCAAACUACCUGCUUUCAAUAAAUUGGUAGUUCAAUUACUGUUUUGUUAGUUUAUUUUUGCUCUAAGUUAUCAUCUGGUGCAAGUAUUUCACAAAAUUAAUCUCUGAUGUAUUCUACUGAAGUUUUUAUUGUUUUGGGGGGUCAUUAUUAUUGUUUGGUCAUUCAUUCAUUCAUUCCUUUCAAGUCAGUAUUGACACCUGCAAACUGCCUGGACAAAUCCCUGCAAUAUACUUAGCAAGAUUUUGGAAGCAGUUUGUCCUCACCUGCAUCCUGGAACUGAGAGAGAUGACUGAUCCAAAGUCAUCCUUUUGGCUUUGUACUUCAGACAAGAUUAGAACUCACAGUCUCCUGGUUUCUAACCUGAUGCAUUAAAAUACAAUGCCAAACUGGCAACCUGAUCUAAACUGGAAGCAAUGAUUACCUGGUUCUUUAUGUUCUGCAGAAGUUUAAACAUGGUCUCUCUGUUUUGAUACGAUGCCUUAACAUUUAUCAUUGAAACAUACAAGUGAUCAAGCUAACUUUUUAUCAUUGAAACAUACAAGUGAUAAUAUAAACUAUAUUAGAAUUAACUUUAGAAAAUUUAAUAAUACGUUAUAAAUUAUUUCAGAAAUAACUCAAAAAGAAAAGUGUAAAAAGGAAAUACUGAAUUGGCUCUGUUUCAUAAAAUUCUCAGGGAGACUAUUAGAGGAAUAAAUGACAAAAUACACAAAUGCUGGGACUUACAUAUUUGCAUCAGGCACUAGGAGACAAAUUCAUAAUCACAGCUUAUAUAGUGGCAUGUGUGUUGUCACUUUGAUAUCAUCUGGUGCAAGUAUUUCUGCUCUGUGUGCCUUAUGUUAGAAAUAUUGUCAAAUGAUAAUAUGAAAUUUUCAAAACUUUUGCUACAUUUUCUAACAAAAUCUGGCAAACUCACUGGUAAAUCAAAACUGUUUCUUCAAAACUAAUCCAAGCAAUGACUUCUAUUUGGACAGUGAUAGGUUUAGUUGCUAGGGAUAUGGAGAAGAAAGCAAAAUAACAGAGGCAUUGUUCACAGUUGUAUUUCUUGAAGCCCAAAUGGAUAAAAGUCAUCCUAUCACUGAGAAGCUUAUAAAUCUAAAUGCCAUGCUGAUGGGAAGUAUAAUGCUUAGAAAGAAGGCAGGACAAGCUACUGACACUGCCUUGGUGAAUCAUGAUAUGCAACAUCAUAAAAAAUCUAUGAUGAUGUGGAGGAGCAAUUACUAGCAUAUGUGCAUGUUAAUAAAUGUUAGCAGUACAACUGGACAGAACUGUGAUCUCCAAAGCAUGGAUAAUUGUCUAAUUUUUGAUCCCUUCAUUUUCCAAACAUUUAAUUAGUGGUCUAUGAUUACAAAAAGUUUAAGAAGCACAGAUCUCUAAGAAUACGCUUAAGAGAAAAAAAUGUAUAUAAUUUUUAUCAGGUUUUAUUCUUCCACAAACAUUAGGUCCUUAUUUUACUAUGAAAGUCUUGAGGAUUGCAUCAGCAUGAUUUAAUUGUUCUUCUCAAGGAUAGAUUCAGGGUCAUUUCAUUGAUUUGUAAAGCUUUUAAUUAUAGUUUCUCAUACUAUUGCAUAGUGCCAUCUAAUUGGUAUAUACAGUCUCUCUUUCCUUAAUUUUCAGAUAAGAUAUUUAUUGGUGUCUAAACCCCCACAUAUAGGGUUUAACAUGAUUAUCAUAUAACCUUUUUGGGGGGGGGGAAAUUCUUCUAGUUGUACAUAGUGUACGUUCUAUGAGUAUCUUCAGUUACAUUGAUCACAAGGAGGCACCACAUAACUGGUGUCAGCUUUAUUGCACAGAUACUUACAUCUAAAGAGUCCUAAUAAUAUUGUUUAUGCUUGUGUGUAUAUAUUUUAGCAUGUAUUCCAUUGUUUCAAUAAUUAUUUCAUUAUCUUUCUCUGCUUAAUUUAAAAUAAGCUAUAAAUAGAGUAUAUUUAGAAAGAUGUGUGUUAACAUCAUUGUUGUUUUAUUUUCCUCUUCUGGACUUAUAUUUCAUUUAAUCAAUUGAUCAAUCAAUAACACAUAUCUAGAAAACUUUAAAAUGUAGUUUUAAUGCCAAUGCAUUUGUGUAAAAUUGGGCAAAGUGCUCUUGUGAGUGAACAUAUGCAUAAUUGAAGAGAAACUACUUAAUCUGCCCCUCAUUUGCUCUGCUAUUAAUUUAAAACAUUUUAUUUUUUGUUAAAAUACCCCAAAUACUCAUAUGCUCCUAGGUAGCUUUGACAAACAUCCUUCUAAAGCAGGCACUUGGAAAGAGUCGGAAAAUAUUCAGAUAUGAAGGCCUUUGAAGUAUCAUAUUGGCCAAAUGUAAGAAAACUGACAGAGAUCUCACUGAAAGAUUUGCAAGACCGUGCUACAUGUUCACAUAUGGCCAUUCUGGUAUUAUACACACAUGAGCUUGAUCAUAUUCUGGCAACUUUCCAGCAGUGAAAUAUCAUAUCCGAAAGAUAAUUUACUAUCUUCCUUUUGAAUGUUUUGUAUUUUUGGCAAAGAUGAUUACAGUACCAUCAGCUUCAAAAAAGAAAGAGAGCGCCCUCUAGCCUCAAUCCUUCAGAAGAGCCUUGAUCUCAGCAUUGGAGUGUUUUCACCCUUUUAAAUUAGGAGUUUUAUUUCCUUGGCAGUAGCUUUAUAAUAAAAAAAUUAAUCAUGAACCCACUGCAUACUUAUAGUUAUUUGGCUUAUCUCUGCUACUCAAAUAAAAGAAGCAUUGUACAGAAUACAAAAUAUGUUAUAAUCAGUUUUUGCAACAGUUUAUGAUAUGACUUUAGAACACUGUUUUGCAAACUUGGCAAUUUUCAGAUGUAUGUGGACUCAAACUUCCAGAACUCCAAGUUCACAAGAGGAAGAGUUUGCCUCAUACUGGAUAAUUGUGAAAUCCUUCAGUUCUGAUUACAGAUCUGCAGAUUACAAAAUACAGUUUGUAAAUUACUCUUCUACCUCAACAGGAAAUAUAGGAAACUUAUAAUAACAAACCUAGAUUCAACUUGUAGCUUAUGGAUGUGUUAUGAGGGAGGACAAGAGGGAGUAAGUGAUUAACUCUCCAUUGUGAUGUGAACUCUGCCUCGGAUAUACUGGGAUGUGACACUACAAUGGAACAUUAUUCUGGUAUUAGUUGUAGUUAUGCCUGUGAAUGAGGUAUGCCUAUACAACCUUAAUUCUUACACAUCCAAAGCUGCCUUUCACCUAAAAUUCAGCCUGAAGUAAAACAGUACAUGAAAAAAAUACACCUUCAGGUCAUAUGAAAAAGUUAUCCCAAGUAUUAUAAGUCACUUUGAAUUUCUAUUGCUCUUCAUAGAGUAAUAUCUUCCUUUGCCUGGUGAAGUGUCAAGAGUAAACUCUUACUUCAUUAUGGAAUCAAAACAACUAAUUCUUUCAAACUGCUAUGAUAAAAUACAUAUGGCUAAUAGUUCAAAUUCUUGAUACAUUUUAAUUAGUUCUGUUUCCUUUUGUUUUAAUAGCAACUGACUCUGCUUUAGUUGGCUUAAAACCUUAAGAAAUGUGUUCACUAAUGAUUAAUUCAAGUAUUUUUCCUAGCCUAUAUGUGAUCUCUGGAUUACUGAGCAUACAUCUUUACCUGAUUUUAAGUGAUGGUGUUUAAAAUGGCCGUAUCCUUUUCUAAAGAAUCAAUAACCCAAAUGUUCCUUUGAGCACUUAGCGCAGCAAUGGCUAUCUCUGACACUUGUUGCAAAAAAAUUAUCUAAUUGGUACUUUUGAAAUUAAAGCAACAAUUAACACCCAGAGCAAAAUUAUGAAUAGUCUUGAAGUGAAAUGUUGAAAUGAAAAAUCUUAAUAUAUUAUAAAUGUUGGUUAUAUAUAUUUCAAAGUGCUGUUAAAAUCCACUUUCCGUUCUCUAAAAUAAUUUAUCUAAAUAUUUUCUGAAAUCAGCCUUUUAGCAUCUGAUAUAACUAAUGGAUCUAAUAAUCAGAAUGGUAUAUCUUUUUUGACAGCCAAAGAGAAAAAUAACACAAGGAAAAUUACAUUCUAAAAUUUAAAAAUGAUACGCCAAUAGGGAGGUAGCUAUGGCAGGCCAAAGUCUCUCCCAAGGUAGAAACAAUUUUAACUAUGCACCUUACAACAAUCCAGCAGUUAUAGAUCAAUUUUUAUCAUAAGAGAUUCACAGGAAAUUGGGAUGGGAUGAGAGUUAUAUUUUUAAUAUGGAUUGAAUAAUGAUUAAAUUUAUCUUCCUCCCAGGCAUUGAGCUUUCUAAAACUAAUGAGUGUUGAGGGACAUAGAUGAGUAAGAUAUCUGCCACAUAGAAAUUUGACUGGAAAGUUAUAAAAAAAGAAUAAUACCAAUAUGUAUUGUAGUUGGACAGCUGUACUAGUCUAUGAUGGUAAAAAAGUCAGCUUACGAAAUCUUAUUCCAGAAAAGGUGCUACAUAUUCCAGCAUAUUUUGUAUGUAUAACCAGUGCUUUUUUUGUUAAAAAAAAAAAAAAGGUGCCGGAACUCACACAUGUCAUACAAUCCGUCUUGCCUACUCUACAAAGUUCCAUCCAAAAAAGGUGCCGGAACUCCGUUCUGGGCGUUCUAUGACAAAAAAAAACCCUGUGUAUAACCAAAUGGGAAAUCUUAACAAUUUUUCAGAGAACUGUUACAUCACCUCAAUUCUUCUUGGCAGCUUAGGUUUGUUUUCUUAUUGAUUCAGGAGUAGCACCAUUUUUAGUAGACUGAGCUUUAGUUGAUCAUUCAUAUCCUAGCAACAGUUAAGGUUUCUAUGAAAUAAUACUCUCAGAUACCUAUAAUUUCAAUCAAUUAUAAUGAGAAAGGCAUAUACAUUUUAUUGCAAAUCAAUCAAUGUUUAAUUUGAUGGCUUACAAUUUAUUUUUGUGGUGAUCUUAAGAUAUUUAUGGAUGAUGGGAAAUGGUCAGAAUUUCACACUGCAACAUAAAAUGUGCAAAUUUUCGUGUUAAGUGUUUGUGUUUGGUUCAAACUGUACCUGCAGAAAUGUGCUACUGGAAUGAUCGUAGAAUUCAGUGAUACUAUUUCUAACUUGAUGAGGCACUUCCUGUUCAACUUAUGGGUUUAUGGUUAUCAUCAUUGGGGAAAUCUGACAUCUGGAAGUACAAUUACAGUGCAGCUUUCAUGGAACCGAAACUAGAAUUCGUUAUAGCUUCCAGAGAUCUCUAGGAGUUUUCUAAUCCAAAGUUAUAGUCAAAUUCUCUGGUGCAGUUCAGAGAUAAAUGUUAAUUUAUCACACAGCGUUCAUACGUUUGCCCUACUCAGCUACUGUGUAGUCAUACUAAGACCAGAAACCCAAACAUUUUUGAAAUGUUGGCUGGUUGAUGAAGACAAUUUUGCAGAUGACCUGAUCACUCCUGGUAGAAAAGCAAAAGAAUCAUUUAUUUAGCUACCAAAAAAAUCUUACUUCAGGAAGUGGCAUGUAUGUUUCUGAGUCAUCAAAAUUACAAUGAUUUCAGCAUUAUGGAACACUAAUCUGAUAAUAAGCACUCUAGACAAACUGGCCUUUGCUAUAAAAAGAAAAGAAAAAGUACCAAUUGCCUGCCUGGUCUUAAACCUUUGCACUUGUUCAUCACCUGGGGAAGAGACGAUGUAAGGUAUAACUUCUUGUUACAAAGGUAGAGUGACAAGAUGGUGGUUGAUCUCCCUUUCUUUCAGGUUACAGCCUUAACCAAGGAGUCAAACUGAUAGUGGAAAUGGCUGCUCCAAGUUAAAAUGCCUGCUGUUUAGCACCAGCGACUAGCCCAAAGUCACCCAAUUGGCUUUUAUGUCUAAGGCAGCACUAGAACUCACAGUCUCCUGGUUUCUAGAUCAGCACCUUAUCUAUUACACCUGCUGGAGAAUUCUGGGAGUCAAAAUCCACACAUCUUAAAAUGGACACGGUUGAGAAACACUGCUGUGGAGAGAUGCAGUUCUACAGGACAGGCACCGCAAUUGAGAAGGUACAACUUCACAAAUGUAGGGUCCAAGAAGAUAGCAUUGUUUGACAGACUUGCCCUGAAGUAUUUCCUUUUUGUUAGAUAUGAUAGGGGAAUUUUGUCAUUUUCUUUCCUAUAGCACUAUUUUUUAAAAAAGUAAUAACAUUGUGCUGUACUUAUUUCUGUGCACACAUGUCUGUUUGAUAAUAGAUUCUUUCCUUCCUAUUUUUCUUUUACUUUUUUUGUUGCACUUUUAUCUUUUUUAUUUCUUUUUUUCUCUUUUCCCUUUAGUUUUUAAUCUUCCUUUUAAAAACAUUUAAUUAUGGGUGUGUGUUGUAUAAAAAGAUAAUAGAUUAUUGGGCAGGAAGCCACAAAAAUGUCUGUUAACAAAAUUUAAAAAGCAGAAACAAAUAUUCCAUUACUCUUAGAGAACUUACUCUUUAUACUAUUAUAAUAUUGUUAGAAUAAGUUCUUGUUCCAUGUUAGGCCUUUGACAUUCUUAUAUCCUAGUAUAAAAGCCAAGAAUAAAGCAAACCUUUUAAGGCAAUCAUGGAGUUACUCUCACUGCUGGAACUCUUGACUUUUAUUACCUUUUCCCAUUAAAAUUAGAUAAGUCUGCCUGCCUAGUUUAGAAAAGACAGCUUCAAUGUUCAUUAUUUUAUGGAGUGAAAUACCAGCAAUAUGUUUAGAUGAGCAACAAAGUGUGCCUGCUACAAAUUGCAAUAAAUAUUUCUUGCUUUCAUGUUUAGGUCUGGAAAGCUUGCUAGAGAACUGAGGCAAGCCAGGUUUCAAUGAAUUAAAACACAUCUUAAUCCACGGCUUCUAAGCUAUGUAUUCAAAACCCUGCGGAAGAUAAUUUUAUCAUGCCAAGUUUGCAAACAAAGAUUUAAUUUUAUGCCAAUCUAAUAAUGUGAUUUGGACAAUUUUCCUUUUUCAGAGAUUGAUACCGAGUAGCAAAUUCAGUUGUCAUCUAAGGCAUCCAUUGGGAUUUUGUUCAUAUGCAACUUUAUAUUUGUACAUAUAGACAGAACUGCACCCAUUAUGUGAUUUAGUACAAGCCUAUACUGAAUGUUAUGUUUCUUAUGUUUUUACUAAUUGCAUUUGAACAGCUGAAAAAACAUUAUUGAGCAAAUAACAUUUGUAAUAUUUUUCAGGUCCUAAGGGAUUUGAUUAUGCCAAUGAUUAAGCCAAUGUCAGCUCUUACGGAGAACAUAAAUAGACCUUCUUCAGAUAAUUUUUUCUUACCUUAAUCCUUCUACCUUGCAAUGAUACGUGCAUUGCCACUGCAAUUGAGUCUACGUACCUUGCUGCUUGCUCUUCUUCUCUAUCCUUUCAUCUUUCCCAGCAUUAUAAAUUUUCAAGAUAGAUAUGUAUUUUAAGGAUGGAUGCAAAAUGUGAUAAUCUGAGCUGGGUGAUUUUGCUCCUUGUAUUAGUAUUUGGGAUUGAUGUGUUCUAUGGCCUGCUUGUUUUCUUAACUAUCUGGGUAUUCUGAGGAAUCUUCUCCCACAUCAUUUUUCAUGAUUUCCAAGGAACAAAGGCAGAUUGGAGAUGGCUGUACAAAAAAUGGAGCCGACAAUCACAGUGAAGAAUGAAGAGCCAACAAGCGAACUAAUAAAUCAUUUCAAACCACUCUGAACAAGGAGACAACUUGAGAUUACUAACAAAUACUCCAGACAACUGCUUCUCACAGGAAUACCAUAAGAUAGUAGUCUCCAGUGUAUUCAAAGCUCUGGGAGAUGAAGGAAUAGCCAUCUCCCUCAAACCACAGUCAGUGCCUUUGAAAAGACAGUAAAUUCGCAUACUUUUUUUUCUAAUCAUUUUUGGGAGUUGCUGUUAACUGUUUUUCAGCUCUUAAAAAAAUCUUUGUAUUGCCAAAUUUGACAGCACUGGCUAAUUUUCCUUUCAGUCCCUAGUGAAUAGAAGUAUUAACUUCAAAAUUAACAAUUUUUUUUCUUGGAAUAAACAAUAAAAGGGUGAUUAAAACUGAUUUUAGAAAGUUAUAGACUAAGGGUCCAGAUAAAUUUGAAAUUAUAAUUUAGAAGUAUAUUAUUUAGAAUUAUAAAGAAUACUUCCCAUGGGAAAAUUCUUUUGUUUUGAUUAAAGAAAAUAAGGUAAAAAUUAGACAGUGAACUAAAGAUGAUAAUUAAAGGACAAGAAUACAUAAAUUCAACUUAUAAUUACAGAACGAAACAAAAUAUUCUACCAUUGGGCAUAUUGAGGCAUAUUUUUAAAAAAUGAACUCAGAAGUUAAUAAUAAUAUCUACAGAGCAUCUGCCUUUAUCAUGACCCUUUGUUUAAAAAAUGUUAUGGAAGAGGAACAACUCUUACCUAACAUGAUAUACGGGAAGGAGUGUCAGUAGCUGGGGAUGAAGCUAAAAGAAGGAUCAGCUUUGAAUGUCUGCAUACCUACAAGCAAGCUAAGUCCAACACCCUCUUGAAUUCUCUUGACCCUCUUCUAACUCCUAGCAGAUGCUGUUAGUUGAGAAUAUUCCUAAAUGUGAGUAGCAAUAAAUCAUUUCAAACUAAUUAAAUCUUCACAUGCAGGCCUGAUUUUUCAUACCUGACAUACAAUCAAAACUGAGUUGAAAAUGGGUUUAUAAAUGGGUUUACAAAUGACAGGAUGACAUGGAAAAGGAUGUUACACUUGACAUACAAAAGCUGAUGUUUUAAUAAUUAAAUGUAUAUAAAAAUAAUAAACAAGAGAGUGAUGAGGAUAAUAUUCCCAUAUAGGAUUCCCCAAAAAGGCUUUUAAGUUUUAAAGAAUCUCAUGAAAAGGGACAAAGAAGACAUAAAAAAAAUAAAGUUGUACGACAUUAUUUGAACAGACUAAAAAGAUUAAAACUGUUUUACGAGAAAAUGAAUAUAAUUUUGAUUUAUUUGAGUGAGCUUAAUAAAAUUUGUUUUAUUUAUUUAUUUCUAUUCCACAUUUAUUAUUUUUUUCUACAAAUAACUGAAGGCAGAGAACAUAUCCAACACACAUUCUUCCUCCUAUUUCCCCCCCCCACAACAAAAAUCUUGUGAAGUGAGUUGGGCUGAGAGAGAAGGACUAGCCCAAGGUCAUCCAGCUGGCUUUCAUGGCUUAGGUAGGACUAGAACUCAUGUCUCCUGCUCUUUAGUCUGAUACAUUAAUCAUUAAACUAAACUGAUUCUCAGUUACAACAAUUAAAUUGUUAUUUUUGGUAAUGGACUUUUGCUGAUACCAGGAGUGAAAUGACAAUGUUUUGCGGAUUGUUUAUAGAUAAGAGAUGGGAUAUGGGAAGAAGAGAUCAGUUGUAUUUCAAGAGGAGAUGAUGUUACUGAAAUUGUUUAUACGUGAUGAAAGUUAGUAGUCAUUUAUUUUUAUUUAUUAUAUUCUUACUUUUCUUUAUUUUCUAUUUUUAUUUUUCCCCUUUUCCCUUUUCUUCUUUUUCUUUUAUCUUUAGUUUGUAUUAGCUUUUACCAUUGUAAUUAUAAUCUUUGAUAAAAUUACUAUAUAAAAAUGAAGUCCUCUCCCAUAUCAACUUUCAAAAGCAUCAAUACUCUUUCUAUUCUGCUUUUCUAAAGUCCAACUUUUACUUGCAUCAAAUAUCAUGAUAAAAACUAAUACAUCUUUGAUCUUUGUAGAUGUGUCACAGCAUCAGAACAUCUGUAACAAAGCCCAUCAAGUGUUAGAUUGUGGUGCAUUUCUUGACUGUUAUUUCCUUUACUGUUGAUAGUCAAUUCCAAAAAGCAGAGGCUAUCCAGCACUUCAAUAUCUUGUCAGUUUCAGAUUGCUGGUUGCUGUACCUGUCGUGAUUAUUUAUAUCUUCUGAAUAAUUCUAUAGUAGUCCCAUUUCCCCCCAUGUUCCUUGAUUUUCAUUACUAUAGCUUUCAGCCUUUUCAGCUACCAGAGUAAUCUCAGCAAAAUGCAGGCUGCUAAUGUUUCUUUCUCGCUAAUUUUAAAACUAUGUUUAUCUUCCAAUCCAACUUUACUCAAUAUGUAUUAUGUAUAUAGAUUUAAUAAAUAUAGAACAUUACAUUCCUGUAUCACUCCUUUGUCAGUUUUAUAUCACAUUUCACACAGACUGCAGUUUCCUGACCUGCGUACAGAUAUCUCAUGAAGACACUGUUCAGGGAUUUCUAUUUUCAUAAGCAUAGUCCAGUUUAAAAUUGUCAACAUAAUCAAAUGAAUCUCUAUUGAGUAUAUAAAUUAAGCAGAUGUUGACUUAUUUUUUGUAGUUUUUGGCUUAUCUGGCAUACAUCGGCAAUUAUGCCUCAUGUACUUUAGCCUUUUCUAAAUAUCUGGCAUCUUUAUUUAAAUGUUUUAAUGUACACUGAAUGACCUAAUUAUUAUUUUGCUGACAUAUGCGAUUAAGAGGAUUGUUGUAAAUGCUGUUAUUUUUGUUCUUGUUGUCAUUCACAAGUAGGCCGACCUUUUUUUAAUGUGUUGGCCACUGUGUCCUUAACUAUAAUUUGGCUAGAAACUUUACUAUUACUUCUCCAAUUGCUCAUUAUAAAAGGCUCUUUGAUAAAUUCCUGUAUCCUUCCAACUUUGUAAUCAGUAGCGUACUGAUCUAAUUUUAUCUUCCUAUACUAGAGGUUUUUGAUAAUAGGGCAUACCUUUCCAAGGUACUUUGGAUGUUGACACCUCUACUGUACAUAAUUUCAUUAUUUUCCCCAUCUCUGAUCUUUUCUGUAUCAGUUGCUUGCUGUCAAAUUGUAUCCUUCAGCAAAGCAAUCUAAGGCUGAAACCUCUUUUUGAAUUCAAAGAUCUUUUGGAAGUUUUUUCUUGUUUUUCCAUGUUGGUUUUUGUCUUGAAUAUAUUUACAGAUGUCAGUGCAAUACUAUUUCUUGUCUCUUUUAACAUUCAUCAUUAAGUUCCCUCCUGAGAUAUUUCUCUCUCUAGACUUUGGCAAUUUAAAGAAAACCCAGUUUUCUUUCUUACAAGUCAUAGUCUUAGACUAUAUGAAUUUCGAAUUCAUAUUUAAUAAUAGUCCUGAUGUAUUCUUGUUCCCUAUCCCUAAACUGUAGACAUUUUUCAUUUUUUCUUGGAAAUGGUGGGUACAUGCUCAAUAUCAUGGUCUGAAUGAUGGUUGAUUUUGUUCUUUCACUUCAGACUUCAAUCUUGCACACAAGCAGUUCAUAAUCUGUUGCAAAGACAAUCACUGGUCACAUCUUUAUUGUUUCAAGUCCUAAUUCCAGUCAAUUUGAUUUUGGUGCAUUUCAUCUUGUUAUGACCAUAUACAAUAUAUAUAGUUAGUAUUCAUAGAAAAUUAUUACCAAAUGAAAAAAGUUAAAGGAUACCAAAAUAUAAUAGGCUCUUAUUUAUUGGAGAAUUUAUUUUUUAUUUAUAUUCAGACAAGAAUGAUUUGAUUUUUAAGAUUCAGUAGAAAUUUGAUGGCACAUAAUCAAAUUAAAUAUACAUUCAUAUGAUAAAAAGUAAGUAACAUUUAAUAUCAUUAACAUGUUUAACAUGGUUUUAAACUAUACAAAACAGCAAACAGUCUGUAGUAUGAUGAAUUGAGAAUGCAGGAAUAGUUUGAUGGGGGAAAAGUAGAGAUAUAUGUAAUUCACCUUUUGUUGAUUGUAAAAAAAA